RNAcentral lists this ribosomal RNA (253 nucleotides) under uncultured bacterium. RNAcentral describes it as "partial 16S ribosomal RNA". It matches the Rfam family "Bacterial small subunit ribosomal RNA", at positions 524 to 776 of the family's 1533-position model. The record is from RNAcentral.
UACGUAGGGUGCGAGCGUUAAUCGGAAUUACUGGGCGUAAAGCGCGGGCAGGCGGUCUUGCCAGUCUGAUGUGAAAUCUCCCCGCUCAACGGGGAGCAGCCAUUGGAAACUACAAGACUGGAGUCUGACAGAGGUAGGCGGAAUUCCGGGUGGAGUGGUGAAAUGCGUAGAGAUCCGGAGGAACACCAGAGGCGAAGGCGGCCUACUGGGUCAGUACUGACGCUGAGCCGCGAAAGCCAGGGGAGCGAACGGG